AUGGAAUCCAAACCACCAUCACUAUUACUAAUGUCACGAUAAUUGGCAUUGAUACAUAUGUAGCCAUAUGCUUCCUGCUGAGUCAGUUUUGAAAUACCAAAGUCCAAAAGGUAGCAGACAGAAGACAGAAGAAUAAAUUCCUAGAGGUCACCAAAUAGUCAGCAAUUUGUUAUUUUUAGUGAGCAUCACAACCAUAACAACAAGAAUUAUCUGAUACAGUUGUCUACAGCAGCAGUGGUUUGCCUCAAGUGAUCUUGCCCUGUCCUGCCAAAGAGCUGCAGCUCCAUGAAACACGAUUUGGACACAAAAUCCACAAGACACAAGCUCAAGAGGUCUGUCCUCGGUGUCAGAAGCGAGUGCUUUUGAACUGGUGGUGGGAGGAGCAGAAAGUCUUCCCAUCUUACAAUGUGAGAAAAAGCGAAAAUUCCCAUCAGAAGUGACUCAUCAACAUUAAUCAUAUAUACACCAGAUUGAAAGGCACUCAGAACAUGGAGUCUGAAUCCCAGCCUCAGUUAAGCAAAUGAGAAGCAAAUUUCUCAGUGCUAUUGUAUCCUUUUAACUGCUGUAUCUGUACAGUUCUGCACAAUGAAGCUGAUGAACAUAAAUUUAUUGUUUCUAGCACUGAACUUUUACAGAGAAGUGCUGCUGAAUCUUUUGGAAGAACAAGCAGCUGAGUAGCAUGGAACUGCCUGUGUCUUGAAAUGAAUAAGCACCAGUGUAAAGAUUUUCACAUGUGAAACAUUCACAUUUACAUGACUUACCACCUGGUCUGUGCAUUAAAAUUAAUAUCCUUGUAAUUUAACCAAGUAGAUGA
This 814-nucleotide long non-coding RNA is filed under the name Ficedula albicollis (Collared flycatcher). RNAcentral's name for it is "lncRNA (ENSFALG00000025931.1)". Lineage: Eukaryota; Metazoa; Chordata; Aves; Passeriformes; Muscicapidae. The record is from RNAcentral.